GUGAAGUCUCACUCUGUUGCCCAGGCUGGAGUGCAGUGGCACGAUCUCGGCUCGCUGCAACCUCCACCUCCCAGGUUCAAGCGAUCCUUCUGUUUCAGCCUCUCCAGUGGCUGGUAUUACAGGAACACACCACCAUGCCUGGCUAAUGCUUCUCUUUCUAUAAAUGAAGACGUGAGGCCGUGUAAGCUCCAAGAGAGCAGGGAUCUUGUUUGUCUUGGUCACCGUGAUAUUUCAGCUGCUGACCCAGUGCUUGAAGCAUACAAUCUGGAGUCUCCACAACUUUCUUCAUGGAACCACCACCAGGCCCCUUCUGUAGGCUUCUUAUGGAGGCUGAAGGUGUCUACAUGGCAGCAUAAAAUAGUAAUUAAGGACUCUGGAGUCACUGCCCAGGCUCAAAUCCCUGCUGCAAAUUGCGAGGUCUUUGAAGAGAAACUGAGGCCCAUAAAAUUGAAUGGCUCAUCUCAGAUCAAGUGGCCAGAUCAAUGAAGAGAAGUGUCCUUAGGUCCGGCUGCUGGUGUGAAGUAUGCUCUGGAGGUCUGACAUCCACUCUCCCUCAGACUUUCUAAUACGGCAGGAAUUCCGUCCAUGUAUACUCAAGCUAGAGUUGCCAGAUGAAAUGGAGGACAUGGCUGGGUGCGGUGGCUCAGCUCGGAGCAGUGGCUCACGCCUGUAAUCCCAGCACUUUGGGAGGCCGAGGUGGGCUGAUGGCCUGAGGUCAGGAGUUCAAAACCAGCGUGGCCAACAAGAUGUGCCAGUUCUGGUAAAUUUCCUAGCAAGCUUGAAGGAAGUGAAGGACAACUGCAAGGAAGGGCAGGAUGGAGCAUGCAGCCCACGUAUUCCCCAGCUUGGUGGGGCAGAAUGCGUUCUUGGCUCCUGAGGAAUGGGCAGGCAACGCACAGGGGUCCUGGGAAGAAAGGGAGAGAAUAUCCUGGGAGAGCCAUAGACCCUGGCACCCUCCUGUGGUCCUUCAUCAGGAUAAAUUUCUAAAAGAAGAAUUACUGGCCAAAGGAUUCCUCUUCAGUUGGAAACAGCAGCAAAGUUCACAGGUCGUGAGUGGAUGUAAAGUGGACGGAACAGGUUGUUGCCAGUCUAUUGGAGUAGGAUGGUAGAUGAGCAGUCCCGUUGGCUAACAGGUGUGGGUAUGCCUGUUUUAAAAAUUAGCAUGUUGUAGGGGAAUAUUUCUCAAACUUUUGUCACGUAUCUACCUCUUAGGCAUUUUUUACUUUAUUCACCUGUACUACUAUUUAAUAUUUUUAAAAUUCAACUGAUUUUUUUUUUUGCUUAAAUACAUGUCUUUAAAACUGGAACUUUAUUCGCCACUGUAAAUGGAAAACCAGUGUCAUUUGCCAUAUAUAGAAGUGAACUAUAUAGUAAAUACGGUGAAAGUGAAAUGGUAUCAUCACACUUGUGCUAGAUUCCAUUUCCUAUAGAAGGUUCUGGGUUUCUUAAAAGGCUUGUUAAAAAGAGAGAUGAGUAAAUGUGAGAGGAAUUUAAGACAUACUAGCACCAUUAAGACUUUCUCCUUAAAGUAAUCUGGAGGAUUUAAAUUGAGAAUUGAAAAAAGUAACUUUAUUUUACAUAAGAAAUUAUGUAAAAGAAUUAUGUUAUUUAAUGCCACAUCCAUACGUCAUCAAGAGUCAACUUGGUGACCACUAGUGGCCCAUGUCCCACACUUUGAGAAACGUGUGUUGGGGUGGGAAUCUGAAGUCAGAAAAACUGGAGUAUGAUAACCACCUCAGCACUUAUUAGAGGCCUUCACUUGGGAAUGAUGACCCUUCCUUGUAGGGUUGUAGUGAGAAUGACAGAUAAUAUAUGAAAAGAUAAAACAUGGUGCCAGAGGCAUUAGCAGGUGCUGCGAAGGGGCUGUUGUAUUUCUUGUUAUACUGGAGUGGUUCUCCACCCUGGAUGCAUAUUAGAAUCAUCUGAAGGGCUUUUUAAAAAUACAGAUAUCAUGACCUCACCCCUGGAGAUCCUAAUUUAAUUGGUCAGGGGUAGGGUUCUGGCAUUGUUACUUGUUUAAAACAAAGUUCCUCCUCCUUCCCAGUGAUUUUAAUUUGUAGCCAGUGUUGGAAAAACCAUGGACUUAACCCUUUCCUAAGAGCUUAGAUCAAUUCUGCAGAUUAGCUAUCUGCCAUUUUGAAAAGGUGGCAUAAGCUCAGGGAAGUAUUCACUGGACAAAAGGAAUUCUGGAUGGCGGAAGCUCUAGGCACCAUCAGGCACUUGCUUUGUGCUGGAAGCUGCAUCAAAUGGCUUGAGCCCAAAGUAGACAUAAGGGCUCCUUAUUUCCCUGGACACUGGGAAAAUCAUUUCUCUUAUUCCAAGAGAACAAUUUUGCUGACCAUGGAAAUACUAUCUCUGGUUUCCAGAGGUACAGUGCUGUUCAGUGCUCUUCUGGAGGUUGUAGUAUGAAGAAAUGACAAAGCCAAAAAGGCAUUCUGACCUAGGGAGACUAUCUUUAAAGCAAAAUAUAAAUGUAGGGCAAAAACUCUGCGGUCUCAGGAGGAUUGGAUCCAGGGGAAAAUGUUUAAAAGGCAAACGUUUAGAAUCAAUUAUACAGCUUCAGCAAUGGUUUGCUAUUGUCUUGCUGUCUUUUUGUUUUGCUUUGUGUAGUGUUCAGAAUAUCUGCAUCAUGUAGCAUCUUUCUAUUUUUAGGAGUCUUUAAACUCCUUUAUUCUGAGGCCCCAGAAUAUUCUCAUCCACCACGUACUUUCACGUGGAGAUGACUGACUUCAUCUUUGACAAUGGCAGUUCCCUAACCUUGAUCCAGCACGGGAGCAGGAAUUAUGGCGAAAAUGGCCACCCAAACUGCACCCAGUGGGAAAACAGCAUUAACUCAGCUUUUAAAAAAGUGUCAACUUGGAAAAUCCAAGACCUAGAUCUGAUGCUUAGGGACCCACAAUGCCAGGCAGCAGUCUGGGAGAUGUCACUUCUGGAGCUUCUAAUGAGAUGCAAAUCACCUAGUGAACUACUGGGGAGCUGGGAAACAAUGUCCUGGGUAAAAGCAGAUAAAAAUGGAAUGAAAGAAUUUCUUUGAAGAUUGGAACGACAUUUUAAGUGCUUGCGGAUAUGGGACACCAGAUAGUGUUGGUUUUACUAAGCUAAUUGUGACGGGGUCUUUGAUUCCCUGCAGCAGGGGACCCUGGGGCACUCGUCUCCAGCUCUGCCUCACUCUUUGAGGAGCUAGUUCCAGUUCUACUGUGAGUGUGCAAGGGGCUGGUCAGCUGUAGCAAAACCAGCACUGGACAUGGGGGAUCAGAAGACCCCGGCACACAUAGUUCAAGUUGUGACACAUAUUGGUAUGUGACCUUAAGUGAAUCCCUUACCCCUCUGCUGCCAUGUUUUAUGUGUAAAAUGAUAAAGAGAGGGGUGGACUGAGGUAGUAAUUUUUAAUGGAGAACAUUGGUGUGGCAAAUUACACAUGUUCUGGCCUGAAGAUUCUGAGCUGCUCUCCUUGGAGUCACAUUCUUUCCCAGUGUGUGAACAUCUGUGUGCAGUGAGAGACAUGCCUGAUGGGGAUCUGUUGCCUGAAGCCAGUGUGAAGGCAGGAAAAGGCUUGUUGGAAUUUAAAUACGACCAAUCAAAAUGUGUUUAGGCUUCAAAGGAAAAAGUUCUCCAUAAAUACACCAGAAUUUCAUUCUAACAUGAUUCAUUCAUUCAAAGAGCACAGCUGCACAAGGGGAAGACAGCUGCCACAUGGUAACGCAGUCCUGUAAAGAGUCCCAUGUGGUGAGAGACGUGGUUGGGAGUGAGCUUGGAAGUGGAUCCCCAACCCUCGUCCCCAAACUGAGACUUCACAUGAGACUGCAGCUCUGGCCAACAGCUUCACUGUAACCUCACAACAGACCUUGAGCCACAAGCACCCAGCUAAGCUGCAGGGAGACCCCCUGAAACUAUUGCUACGGAAUAAAAGAUGAAAUGCUCCUGAUUAU
This 3929-nucleotide long non-coding RNA is filed under the name Homo sapiens (human). RNAcentral's name for it is "HSALNT0307073". The record is from RNAcentral. Lineage: Eukaryota; Metazoa; Chordata; Mammalia; Primates; Hominidae.